Molecule: non-coding RNA, 159 nt
Filed under: Maricaulis sp.
Lineage: Bacteria; Pseudomonadati; Pseudomonadota; Alphaproteobacteria; Maricaulales; Maricaulaceae
Also listed under: 1 other name
Description: 6S RNA
Rfam family: 6S / SsrS RNA
About the family: E. coli 6S RNA was the first non coding RNA to be sequenced, but its function was unknown until recently. It consists of 184 nucleotides that fold into an extended hairpin structure with a large single-stranded internal bulge.
Source: RNAcentral
GGUCAUCUGCUGCGUGCGACUGGGGCGUAAAUCCCGCUGACCGUAACUCUCCACGAGGGAACUGCCUCUGUUUGGGACCGUGGUCCCUGAUAAGCGGUGCCCACCUGAUUAGUCGGGUCUGUGGGGAUUCACACGCGCUGACGGCGCAAGUGGAGCCGC